UGGGGAAUAUUGGACAAUGGGCGAAAGCCUGAUCCAGCAAUGCCGCGUGAGUGAUGAAGGCCUUAGGGUUGUAAAGCUCUUUUACCCGGGAUGAUAAUGACAGUACCGGGAGAAUAAGCCCCGGCUAACUCCGUGCCAGCAGCCGCGGUAAUACGGAGGGGGCUAGCGUUGUUCGGAAUUACUGGGCGUAAAGCGCACGUAGGCGGCUUUGCAAGUCAGAGGUGAAAGCCCAGGGCUCAACCCUGGAAUUGCCUUUGAGACUGCAUCGCUAGAAUUGUGGAGAGGUAAGUGGAAUUCCGAGUGUAGAGGUGAAAUUCGUAGAUAUUCGGAAGAACACCAGUGGCGAAGGCGACUUACUGGACACAUAUUGACGCUGAGGCGCGAAAGCGUGGGGAGCAAACAGGAUUAGAUACCCUGGUAGUCCACGCCGUAAACGAUGAUGACUAGCUGUCGGAGCGCUUGGCGUUUCGGUGGCGCAGCUAACGCGUUAAG
This 492-nucleotide ribosomal RNA is filed under the name uncultured Pseudomonadota bacterium. Its description in RNAcentral is "bacterial SSU rRNA". It matches the Rfam family "Bacterial small subunit ribosomal RNA", at positions 355 to 864 of the family's 1533-position model. Lineage: Bacteria; Pseudomonadati; Pseudomonadota. The record is from RNAcentral.